This is a long non-coding RNA of Helianthus annuus (common sunflower), 302 nucleotides long. RefSeq lists it as uncharacterized. The record is from RefSeq and is a predicted model, not a curated record. The transcript is spliced from 3 exons. NCBI's taxonomy places the organism in Eukaryota, Viridiplantae, Streptophyta, Magnoliopsida, Asterales, Asteraceae.
GAGGGAGAAGCCAAGAACAAACCCUAACUUUCAGAAAAUCACAAGAUUAGGAAGGAAUUAAGGGCCUAAAUUGAUGCAUGAGCUCCAAUCUUUAACUAUCUAAGCUUGUUCAACACAAGGCGUUAAGGAAGAAAGUUCGAGUCAAGUGAAGCAACAAGGGGAUCAAGACCGAGGUAAAUCUCAUGUCUAGCUAUCAAGCUCUGCCCGGUUCGAACACGCCUCAAGCCCGUCAAGCGUUCCGCAUUUUGUAAAAGUCAAUGUUUAAUACUUUGUCACUUAUGUUUUCGUCUAGUAGUUAAACC